Molecule: ribosomal RNA, 824 nt
Filed under: uncultured bacterium
Lineage: Bacteria
Description: bacterial SSU rRNA
Rfam family: Bacterial small subunit ribosomal RNA
Source: RNAcentral
GAGUUUGAUCCUGGCUCAGGAUGAACGCUGGCUACAGGCUUAACACAUGCAAGUCGUGGGGAAACGGCAUUAUGUGCUUGCACAUUCUGGACGUCGACCGGCGCACGGGUGAGUAUCGCGUAUCCAACCUGCCCCUUACUUGGGGAUACCCCGUUGAAAGACGGCCUAAUACCCGAUGUGUUUCAUUGACGGCAUCCGAUAUGAAACAAAGGUUUUCCGGUAAGGGAUGGGGAUGCGUCUGAUUAGCUUGUUGGCGGGGCAGCGGCCCACCAAGGCUACGAUCAGUAGGGGUUCUGAGAGGAAGGUCCCCCACAUUGGAACUGAGACACGGUCCAAACUCCUACGGGAGGCAGCAGUGAGGAAUAUUGGUCAAUGGACGCAAGUCUGAACCAGCCAAGUAGCGUGCAGGAUGACGGCCCUAUGGGUUGUAAACUGCUUUUAUGUGGGAAUAAAUUGGCGCACGUGUGCGCCAUUGCAUGUACCUCAUGAAUAAGGACCGGCUAAUUCCGUGCCAGCAGCCGCGGUAAUACGGAAGGUCCGGGCGUUAUCCGGAUUUAUUGGGUUUAAAGGGAGUGUAGGCGGUCUGUUAAGCGUGUUGUGAAAUUUAGGUGCUCAACAUUUAACUUGCAGCGCGAACUGUCAGACUUGAGUACACGCAGCGCAGGCGGAAUUCAUGGUGUAGCGGUGAAAUGCUUAGAUAUCAUGAGGAACUCCGAUCGCGAAGGCAGCCUGCGGGAGUGUUACUGACGCUUAAGCUCGAAGGUGCGGGUAUCGAACAGGAUUAGAUACCCUGGUAGUCCGCACUGUAAACGAUGGAUGCCCGC